GAUGAACGCUAGCGGCAGGCUUAACACAUGCAAGUCGAGGGGUAGAAGGAGCUUGCUCCUUUGAGACCGGCGCACGGGUGCGUAACGCGUAUGCAAUCUACCUUUUGCAGAGGGAUAGCCCAGAGAAAUUUGGAUUAAUACCUCAUAGUAUGUGAGGAUGGCAUCAUUUUCACAUUAAAGUCACAACGGCAAAAGAUGAGCAUGCGUCCCAUUAGCUAGUUGGUAAGGUAACGGCUUACCAAGGCUACGAUGGGUAGGGGUCCUGAGAGGGAGAUCCCCCACACUGGUACUGAGACACGGACCAGACUCCUACGGGAGGCAGCAGUGAGGAAUAUUGGACAAUGGGCGCAAGCCUGAUCCAGCCAUGCCGCGUGCAGGAUGACGGUCCUAUGGAUUGUAAACUGCUUUUUGUACCAGGGAAGAAACACUAACUUCGUGAAGUAGCUUGACGGUACU
This 456-nucleotide ribosomal RNA is filed under the name uncultured bacterium. RNAcentral describes it as "bacterial SSU rRNA". It matches the Rfam family "Bacterial small subunit ribosomal RNA", at positions 28 to 479 of the family's 1533-position model. The record is from RNAcentral.